GGGCAAAUUCCUAAAAAAACACGCUGAUUUCAACCUUCCCAUUUCGUACAAUGUCAAAUUCCAAGCAUUUUCCCUUAGAAUUCCACAACUUUUUUGUAAAAAACGGCAAAGGAAGUUUUCAAUACACAUUAGAUUUAGAUCAAUGACGGAUAGGGCAAGAUUAUCUGCAAGUUUGAUAUAAUUUGUAUUUUCUAUUUUUAACUAAGGGAAGAAAUUUAAUCAAAAAGGGUCAAAGGCACGUGGUGCACAUCAUAUGAAUAAAGUACCCUUGAUUUUGCCAUAUGAUCACAAAAACAACAUUUCCCAAAAUGACUGCAUUCGGUAAUGGUGGUAUUACAGUAAGGGUUUGCUUCUCAUAUCGUUGUAAGCUGUAUAUGUAUAUUCUGCAGGAUAACAUGAACAGACAGACAUACAAUGAUUUGAGGCUUAGAAACAUUGUAGUCCCUCAAUUUGAC
RNAcentral lists this long non-coding RNA (455 nucleotides) under Mytilus galloprovincialis (Mediterranean mussel). Lineage: Eukaryota; Metazoa; Mollusca; Bivalvia; Mytilida; Mytilidae. The record is from RNAcentral.